UUAGAAAUUUACUUCAAUUUAAAAAUAUAAAAUAAAUUUGAUUAUUAUUAUGACCUAUUUUUAAAAACACACAUAAAAAUCUUUAAUAAGAUAUAAUAAACAAGAAAUUAACAAAACAAAAAAAACCAUUUCAAACUUAAUUUAUUNUUUUUAGAAAUUUACUUCAAUUUAAAAAUAUAAAAUAAAUUUGAUUAUUAUUAUGACCUAUUUUUAAAAACACACAUAAAAAUCUUUAAUAAGAUAUAAUAAACAAGAAAUUAACAAAACA
RNAcentral lists this long non-coding RNA (268 nucleotides) under Lathyrus oleraceus (garden pea). RNAcentral describes it as "Pisum sativum (pea) long non-coding RNA (PSAT_LNC001016)". Lineage: Eukaryota; Viridiplantae; Streptophyta; Magnoliopsida; Fabales; Fabaceae. The record is from RNAcentral.